Molecule: small nucleolar RNA, 125 nt
Filed under: Castor canadensis (American beaver)
Lineage: Eukaryota; Metazoa; Chordata; Mammalia; Rodentia; Castoridae
Description: Small Cajal body specific RNA 3 (ENSCCNG00000014298.1)
Rfam family: Small Cajal body specific RNA 3
About the family: scaRNAs are a specific class of small nuclear RNAs which localise to the Cajal bodies and guide the modification of RNA polymerase II transcribed spliceosomal RNAs U1, U2, U4, U5 and U12.
Source: Rfam by way of RNAcentral
AUUGGACAACUAUGUGGACAAAUGAGAAAAUACCUUUUGUUUACAGAAAGCAGCAAUCCUACAUAAACAUGGAGGUCUCUGUCUGACAGGAUAGCUGCUAAGUCAGGUCAUUCCCUCCAUACACU